GUUGCCGUUUCUUUUCUUUCUUUAUUAGAAAGAAGAGGUGUGGUGAACAUCUUUAAACAUGGAUCCUUCCUGGCGUGCUUUUCAAGUGUGCUCUUGGUUAAGUUCUGAGCACAAUUACUGGGCCAAAGAACUGGUGGAGCUCUGAGAAGGGCUGACACAGGCUUUCUCCCGCUUUCUGUUUCUUGGGUUGUCUCAGUGGGAUGUGUUUUUGAAGGAAAAGAAAGAGGUAAGUUUGCUUAGCUCUUUCCCUGCUGUUGGGCUCAGGAGUUGUGUCCAAGUUUUCAAUGUUACAGGUGACGUGGAGCCCCUGUUUUUAUACUUUUUUAUUGCAAAUAAGACCCCACUCCCAUUCUAACAGUCAGGGCUUAUGUUGAGCACCUGUGAGCAUCUGGCUGACUAAGCAGUGCUGAUCUGACUGGCAUUGGACCCGCACAGCAGCAGUCAGGAGACUACAGAUGGGAGCGGUUGGCGAGGAGGCAGAGCCUUGAAAUGGAGACCAAGUCGCCUGCUGUGGCUUGGGCCAAGGCCUUCUCUUUCUUCUAAAAGAUGCCUUUCUAGUGCUAGGCCUUUCCCGUUUGCUGUCACCCUCCUCUUCCUGGGAACAGGAAGUGUCAAAGCUUGCAUAGAUCCAGAACAGUGGGUCAUGGCCACUGUCCUGGUGAGAGAAGGACCACGAUGGGGCCAGCUGGGCACUAGUAUUGGGAUAAAAGCCCCUGUGGUUUCUGUUUUCCUUUCUCCUGUUACACGUAGGCUGGUGAGUGCAGAUUUCAGCAACUUUUUCUCUUGUGAUCACAUCUGAACUCUGGGGUUUGGUUGUUGGAGGGGUGAAAUCAAGCAGAUGUGAAGACCUAAGUCUGUCAAACUUUGCAGGCCUAAUUAGAUUUUGAGAAAGGGGUACUUCCUGUGGCUGAGCCCAGGAGGCUUAUGAUCUGCACUGGUGUAUUAUUCUAUGCACAUCUUCUCUAAUACCCUUACGAGGAGGGGUAUUUGGUUAAGAUCAGGGUUUAGGUAUUUUUGGGUCUCCUAACCAUGCUUAUAACCUUGUAAUAGUGCCAGAAUUGUACCAUUCCUUUAAGAACAGAUUUAGGAAACUGAGUCAAGGAAACAGUUAAUCUCUUCAGGAAGAGUAGUUGUUCUAACAUCAGAGCUCAGGAGGUAGCUGGAUGCACCUCAAUAGACAAUUCCCAACUUCAGUUGACUUGAUUUUUUUUUUGAUUAGUGGGAGAACAUUUUGAAAAGUACAUAAGUAAUACAUGGAUACACUCAUAGUAAAAUCAGAGUAAAAGGGGAGAAUUUGCCUUUGUUACAACCUUGCCCCACCCUGUGCCCCCCUUAGAAGCUGGGUGAACUGAUUCAGCAUGUACUCUUCCAGGCCGCCAUAUUCUGUGCCCUUGUAAAUCUUCACGUGUACAAAUACAGUAUAUAGAUUUUAAGGUUUUGUUUGUUUUACAUAAAUAGCAUCAUAUAUUCUUCCAUUUGUAAUAAUUGGUGACCAUUUUCAAGAAACUAGUGUCAGAGACAAAUGCUGCUGCCAAAUGCAGGGUAUGUGGGGGUGGAGACGACACCUUGGGUCAACAUGUCUUUGGGGAGUUAAUAAAUUUGUAUAGCUUUUUACAAUUUGUCAAGAUGCCCUUUCAGCUUUUUCCAAAAGUGGAAUUAAAGGCAUUUUUGUAAUUGUCGUACCAUGCCAAAUAGCUUUCCAGAAGGACUGAGCCACGUUACGUGGUUAUCAGCAACAUGAAUGUAUCCUGGGGUCUCCAUCUUUAGUUAGCUUGUUUCCUUGCUGGGUACAUAAUGAUACCUUUAGUUUACUUUUCCUUGAUUGUUGGCAAG
RNAcentral lists this long non-coding RNA (1833 nucleotides) under Equus asinus (donkey). RNAcentral's name for it is "lncRNA (ENSEASG00005031757.1)". Lineage: Eukaryota; Metazoa; Chordata; Mammalia; Perissodactyla; Equidae. The record is from RNAcentral.